Carassius carassius (crucian carp) is the source of this 269-nucleotide long non-coding RNA. RefSeq lists it as uncharacterized. The transcript is spliced from 4 exons. The record is from RefSeq and is a predicted model, not a curated record. NCBI's taxonomy places the organism in Eukaryota, Metazoa, Chordata, Actinopteri, Cypriniformes, Cyprinidae.
AAAAAAUCGCGGGAAACGGACGGCUCGCGCUUUCUCCGGCUUCAUUUAAACUUCCAACUCACAUAAGAUACAAAACAUGUCUGAAGUGCCACCCAAAAAACUGAAGCAGACUGAAUUUCUGACAUCCUUUCAAGAGAGUCCUAAAAAGGAGACUGCCACAGACAGUGAACCUGGGGAGAAGUCAGAAGCUAGUGACAAUGUUCAGACAAAAAUGGAUUAUUCGUUUAAGAAAGAAGUUGAAGAGGGACCUUCAGAACAUCUGCAGCAGG